GCUUCGUCUAUCACAAGCCGGUUUUGUUAGCUAUUCCACGGAUUAUUCAUAAAGGCACACGUUGAAAAUGUUGUCCGCUCGCGCCGUGAUUUUUUGCCUGACGCUGCUGGCUUUACCAACGCUCAUUAACAGCAAAUUUGUUGCCUGCUACGACUCCAGUGAAAGUUGUUCUCGUUUUUGCUCACAUAACUGUUUGAGUCCUUCGUGCAAACCUGGAACAAAUACAAUUUGUCCUCACCACUACGCAUGUUACUGUGGAAAACGAUCUAGUGGCUAAAUAUUUGAGUUACUGAUGAACGUUCCUAUAAUGUCAAACUUGUUUGAAUAAAAUUUAUAUUUUUUUCCAUCGAAA
Long non-coding RNA from Physella acuta, 352 nucleotides. RefSeq lists it as uncharacterized. The record is from RefSeq and is a predicted model, not a curated record. Lineage: Eukaryota; Metazoa; Mollusca; Gastropoda; Physidae.